UGGAGAGUUUGAUCCUGGCUCAGGACGAACGCUGGGCGGCGUGCCUAAUACAUGCAAGUCGAACGCUUCUUUUCCCACCGGAGCUUGCUCCACCGGGAAAAGAGGAGUGGCGAACGGGUGAGUAACACGUGGGUAACCUGCCCAUCAGAAGGGGAUAACACUUGGAAACAGGUGCUAAUACCGUAUAACAAUCGAAACCGCAUGGUUUCGUUUUGAAAGGCGCUUUACGGUGCCGCUGAUGGAUGGACCCGCGGUGCAUUAGCUAGUUGGUGAGGUAACGGCUCACCAAGGCCACGAUGCAUAGCCGACCUGAGAGGGUGAUCGGCCACAUUGGGACUGAGACACGGCCCAAACUCCUACGGGAGGCAGCAGUAGGGAAUCUUCGGCAAUGGACGAAAGUCUGACCGAGCAACGCCGCGUGAGUGAAGAAGGUUUUCGGAUCGUAAAACUCUGUUGUUAGAGAAGAACAAGGGUGAGAGUAACUGUUCACCCCUUGACGGUAUCUAACCAGAAAGCCACGGCUAACUACGUGCCAGCAGCCGCGGUA
Molecule: ribosomal RNA, 547 nt
Filed under: Enterococcus mundtii
Lineage: Bacteria; Bacillati; Bacillota; Bacilli; Lactobacillales; Enterococcaceae
Description: bacterial SSU rRNA
Rfam family: Bacterial small subunit ribosomal RNA
Source: RNAcentral